This 451-nucleotide ribosomal RNA is filed under the name uncultured bacterium. RNAcentral describes it as "bacterial SSU rRNA". It matches the Rfam family "Bacterial small subunit ribosomal RNA", at positions 8 to 507 of the family's 1533-position model. The record is from RNAcentral.
AGAGUUUGAUCCUGGCUCAGAACGAACGCUGGCGGCAGGCUUAACACAUGCAAGUCGAGCGCCCCGCAAGGGGAGCGGCAGACGGGUGAGUAACGCGUGGGAAUCUACCUAUUACUACGGAACAACUCCGGGAAACUGGAGCUAAUACCGUAUACGUCCGAGAGGAGAAAGAUUUAUCGGUGAUAGAUGAGCCCGCGUUGGAUUAGCUAGUUGGUGGGGUAAUGGCCUACCAAGGCGACGAUCCAUAGCUGGUCUGAGAGGAUGAUCAGCCACACUGGGACUGAGACACGGCCCAGACUCCUACGGGAGGCAGCAGUGGGGAAUAUUGGACAAUGGGCGAAAGCCUGAUCCAGCCAUGCCGCGUGAGUGAUGAAGGCCUUAGGGUUGUAAAGCUCUUUCACCGGUGAAGAUAAUGACGGUAACCGGAGAAGAAGCCCCGGCUAACUUCGUG